GCCGGGGUGGCGGAACCGGUAGACGCGGCAGACUCAAAAUCUGCUGCCCGCAAGGGCGUGCGGGUUCGAGUCCCGCCCCCGGCACCA
RNAcentral lists this transfer RNA (87 nucleotides) under Thermus sp. Its description in RNAcentral is "tRNA-Leu". It matches the Rfam family "tRNA". Rfam says of the family: Transfer RNA (tRNA) molecules are approximately 80 nucleotides in length. Their secondary structure includes four short double-helical elements and three loops (D, anti-codon, and T loops). Lineage: Bacteria; Thermotogati; Deinococcota; Deinococci; Thermales; Thermaceae. RNAcentral also lists the same sequence under 1 other name. The record is from RNAcentral.